UCCAGAAAUUUCUUUUAAGUAACCUUUUAUAUUCAAAAGUUUUUUUUUCUUGGAUAUACAUGUACUUAUUUUUUUUAUUUAUUUCUGGU
RNAcentral lists this microRNA precursor (89 nucleotides) under Ciona intestinalis (vase tunicate). Its description in RNAcentral is "microRNA mir-4176 (mir4176)". Lineage: Eukaryota; Metazoa; Chordata; Ascidiacea; Phlebobranchia; Cionidae. The record is from RNAcentral.